GAUGAACGCUGGCGGCAGGUUUGACACAUGCAAGUCGAACGAGAAGCAGGUGCUUGCACCUGUGGACAGUGGCGAACGGCUGAGUAACACGUAGGAAUCUACCCCUCGGACCGGGACAACAGUGGGAAACCGCUGCUAAUACCGGAUAUAUUCUUCGGAAGGAAAUGGUCCGCCGCCGAGGGAGGAGCCUGCGGCGUAUUAGGUAGUAGGUGAGGUAAUGGCUCACCUAGCCGAUGAUGCGUAGCUGGUCUGAGAGGACGAUCAGCCAGACUGGGACUGAGACACGGCCCAGACUCCUACGGGAGGCAGCAGUUCAGAAUCUUGCACAAUGGGCAAAGCCUGAUGCAGCCAUGCCGCGUGUGCGAAGAAGGCCCUGGGUC
This 380-nucleotide ribosomal RNA is filed under the name uncultured bacterium. Its description in RNAcentral is "bacterial SSU rRNA". It matches the Rfam family "Bacterial small subunit ribosomal RNA", at positions 28 to 424 of the family's 1533-position model. The record is from RNAcentral.